GACGAACGCUGGCGGCGUGCUUAACACAUGCAAGUCGAACGGAAAGGCCUCUUUCGGGGGGUACUCGAGUGGCGCACGGGUGAGUAACACGUGAGUAUCCUGCCCUUUACUUUGGGAUAACUUCAGAAAACAGGGGCUAUUACCGGAUAGGAGCUCCUGCUCCAUGGUGGGGGUUGGAGAGUUUCGGCGGUUGGGGGUGGGCUCGCGGCGUAUCAGCUUGUUGGUGGGGUAGUGGCUUACCAAGGCUUUGACGGGUAGCCGGCCUGAGAGGGUGACCGGCCACAUUGGGACUGAGAUACGGCCCAGACUCCGACGGGAGGCAGCAGGGGGGAAUAUUGCACAAUGGGUGGAAGCCUGAUGCAGCAACGCCGUGGGCGGGAGGACGGCCUUCGGGUUGGAAACCGCUUUCGCUCAUGACGAAGCUUUGUGUGACGGUAGUGGGUAAAGAGGCACCGGCUAACUACGUG
Molecule: ribosomal RNA, 467 nt
Filed under: uncultured bacterium
Lineage: Bacteria
Description: partial 16S ribosomal RNA
Rfam family: Bacterial small subunit ribosomal RNA
Source: RNAcentral